Molecule: ribosomal RNA, 465 nt
Filed under: Vreelandella stevensii
Lineage: Bacteria; Pseudomonadati; Pseudomonadota; Gammaproteobacteria; Oceanospirillales; Halomonadaceae
Description: partial 16S ribosomal RNA
Rfam family: Bacterial small subunit ribosomal RNA
Source: RNAcentral
CCUACGGGGGGCUGCAGUGGGGAAUAUUGGACAAUGGGCGAAAGCCUGAUCCAGCCAUGCCGCGUGUGUGAAGAAGGCCUUCGGGUUGUAAAGCACUUUCAGUGGGGAAGAAAGCCUUGGGGCUAAUACCCUCGAGGAAGGACAUCACCCACAGAAGAAGCACCGGCUAACUCCGUGCCAGCAGCCGCGGUAAUACGGAGGGUGCGAGCGUUAAUCGGAAUUACUGGGCGUAAAGCGCGCGUAGGUGGUCUGAUAAGCCGGUUGUGAAAGCCCCGGGCUCAACCUGGGAACGGCAUCCGGAACUGUCAGGCUAGAGUGCAGGAGAGGAAGGUAGAAUUCCCGGUGUAGCGGUGAAAUGCGUAGAGAUCGGGAGGAAUACCAGUGGCGAAGGCGGCCUUCUGGACUGACACUGACGCUGAGGUGCGAAAGCGUGGGUAGCAAACAGGAUUAGAUACCCUAGUAGUC